Molecule: long non-coding RNA, 981 nt
Organism: Myotis myotis
Lineage: Eukaryota; Metazoa; Chordata; Mammalia; Chiroptera; Vespertilionidae
Exons: 3
Source: RefSeq, a predicted model, not a curated record
GGGUGUUGCACUCGGGCUCUUUGCCUGAGGUCAGUGGCAAGGGGUCCAGGGGCCGAGAAGAUGGUGAGGUCACAGGGGCUGGAUUCCAGUAAGAAGGCCGUGGAGAUCAGAGCUGGCUGCCCCGGGUGGAAAAUGGGGAAGGGUCAGGCCUGGAGGAUGGAUACCGUGCGCCACACGGCACACAAGCCGCUCGGCAUGAUCAGGGGCCAAAGGUGGGGCCCGCGCGGUGCGCACGGAGCUCAGCGGGGCUGGUGGAACAGUGCACCCCACCCAGCCAGGUGCGCUCAGCCCAGACAAGGACGUUGGGAGCCGCGCGGUUCCGCGGGGCGGGCACAAGGGACGGGGUGCAAGAGCCAGAGCCGGGCCUCUGCGCCCGGCCGCCUCUUCUGGGCAUAAAGUGAGCGCGCGGGCUCCUGGGCGCCACCACGCGGUGCACAGGCGCAAGUGCCCCUUCUCUUGCUUUGCACCGACUGCCUCAUCUCUGCUGGAAAUGGCCCCCAACCGCUCCUGCCCAGCUGGCAAGGAACCCGGGCUCUGGACCUCAGGAGGCCUCUUACUCACCCUGAGGGAGAGGAGGGAGUAUUUUGAGCUUGAGAGGAAGCAGACGCCUUAGAGAGAGAGCAGCUUCUGUGCCUUCUCCCUGGCCAAGGGCCCGCAUCCGGUUGGAGCAUUUGCAUCCUCCCAGUGGUUCCUGUUGGAGAGGCCUGAGGGUCCAGGUUGUCCUGCUCCACAUCAUCAGGUGUUGGGGGGGCGGGGGGGGUGAGAGGGCGCUGCUGGCCCAGGACUCUAAGUUGUCCCUGCGGGUUGGAGGCAGCGAACAGUGUGUCUUCUGGGUUGAGGACAGAAGGUCCUGGCCCUCAGACGCAGCCUAACUGAACCGGGUCUGGAGCCGGGGACCAUCCCUGGGGGGUGGCUCCUGCGCCUGCACCGGCUCCUGCAAAUGCAAGGACUGCAAAUGCACCUCCUGCAAGAAGAGUGAAU